RNAcentral lists this non-coding RNA (180 nucleotides) under Polaromonas sp. RNAcentral's name for it is "6S RNA". It matches the Rfam family "6S / SsrS RNA". Rfam says of the family: E. coli 6S RNA was the first non coding RNA to be sequenced, but its function was unknown until recently. Lineage: Bacteria; Pseudomonadati; Pseudomonadota; Betaproteobacteria; Burkholderiales; Comamonadaceae. The record is from RNAcentral.
CGUUGUCUGCAGUGCGUGCCGGGCUUUAUAUUUCCUUGAUCCAAUGCUCUUAGAGCCCGGGCUUGGUACAUUGCGUGGCUGGCGUGAGCGUCUCGCGUCAGACGAUCCCGAAGCCACGCUGCCCUUGCCCACCUGAACCCAGGUUCAGGAUGCCGGUCCGGCUGCACUUGCAGACACCUU